UCUCCGCUGGUGAACCAGCGGAGGGAUCAUUACAGAGUUGCAAAACUCCCAAACCAUUGUGAACGUUACCUAUCCCGUUGCUUCGGCGGGCGGCCCGGGCCCCGCGCCCGGCGCCCCCCGGCCCCCCGUGGGCGCCCGCCGGAGGUAAACCAAACCCUUGAAUUGCAUGGCCUCUCUGAGUCCUCUGUACUGAAUAAGUCAAAACUUUCAACAACGGAUCUCUUGGUUCUG
RNAcentral lists this unclassified non-coding RNA (231 nucleotides) under plant metagenome. RNAcentral's name for it is "partial contains small subunit ribosomal RNA, internal transcribed spacer 1, and 5.8S ribosomal RNA". The record is from RNAcentral.